Vicia villosa (hairy vetch) is the source of this 425-nucleotide long non-coding RNA. RefSeq lists it as uncharacterized. The record is from RefSeq and is a predicted model, not a curated record. The transcript is spliced from 3 exons. NCBI's taxonomy places the organism in Eukaryota, Viridiplantae, Streptophyta, Magnoliopsida, Fabales, Fabaceae.
GGGUUCAGCGAAAGAUCCACCUUUACAACGUUACUUUCGGGCUUUAUAUGUUGGAUUGGUGGGAGCGUUGUUCAUUUAAUAUUUUGGUGAUUGUACUAAUGUGUUUCGUAGUUCGGUACAUUACCCGGUUCUUCAAGAGGUACAUUCUGGGUAUUGUUUAAGUGUCGGAUAUCGCAUGCAAGAAACCAAAUCAUUCUCGGGAAGAUGACAGAUGCCAAUGCAGAUCUUGUAGCUGUUUGAUAUGGACAGAUUUAGGAGUUUCUUAAAGCUGUCAAAAAAGUUGGGAUGUUCAUAUAUGUGAUAUUUAUUUUCUUAUAAGCUUGUUUUGCAUUUGCGUUUUUGACACUGUAAUUAUUAUUGGUAAUGUUCAUUAUUAAACUUUUUUAACACUUUUUUUUUAAGAACAUUUUGAACAUUUCAAAUUA